GACGUAGGGCGCGAGCGUUGUCCGGAUUUAUUGGGCGUAAAGAGCUCGUAGGCGGCUUGCCGCGUCGUCUGUGAAAUCCCGCGGCUCAACCGCGGGUCUGCAGUCGAUACGGGCAGGCUAGAGUUCGGUAGGGGAGACUGGAAUUCCUGGUGUAGCGGUGAAAUGCGCAGAUAUCAGGAGGAACACCGGUGGCGAAGGCGGCUUUCUGGACAGUAACCGGCGCUGAGGCACGAAAGCUAGGGGAGCAAACAGG
Molecule: ribosomal RNA, 253 nt
Filed under: uncultured prokaryote
Description: partial 16S ribosomal RNA
Rfam family: Bacterial small subunit ribosomal RNA
Source: RNAcentral